AGCAGUAGCCGCGGUAAUACGGAGGGUGCAAGCGUUAUCCGGAUUCACUGGGUUUAAAGGGUGCGUAGGCGGAUUAGAAAGUCCGUUGUGAAAUCUCCGAGCUUAACUCGGAAAUUGCGGUGGAUACUAUUAGUCUUGAAUACUGUGGAGGUUAGCGGAAUAUGUCAUGUAGCGGUGAAAUGCAUAGAUAUGACCUAGAACACCAAUUGCGAAGGCAGCUGGCUACACAGAUAUUGACGCUGAGGCACGAAAGCGUGGGGAUCAAACAGGAUUAGAUACCCCUGUAGUACCUGUCUCUUAUAC
RNAcentral lists this ribosomal RNA (303 nucleotides) under uncultured bacterium. RNAcentral describes it as "partial 16S ribosomal RNA". It matches the Rfam family "Bacterial small subunit ribosomal RNA", at positions 507 to 807 of the family's 1533-position model. The record is from RNAcentral.